Molecule: unclassified non-coding RNA, 1375 nt
Filed under: Anthonomus grandis grandis
Lineage: Eukaryota; Metazoa; Arthropoda; Insecta; Coleoptera; Curculionidae
Description: cKLF-like MARVEL transmembrane domain-containing protein 4
Source: RNAcentral
GCCGUCGAAGGUCAUCAAAAAAUAAUCCAUUCACAUUUCUCUCUCUCUCUUUUCCGAAUUUCCACUUCAAUAAACUAAACAGAGAUGUAGCUAGUUGGUUUUACGUGAUAACCAGUGAAAUCCUACCAAGUGAACACCGACCGAUUGGUUUAUUCAGUUUCAGGUUUCAAUCGUUAAAUCGGAUGUUUUCGCGUACGCCUCCAAAAUAUACACGGUAAUGUCCACUAAUUUCUCGUAAAAUCGCUAAAAAUAAACGUUAUACGGGUCUGAUAGUUUACUACUGAUAAUAAUAGAUCCAGCCAGACAAAAUGGCAGAUGCAGGCUUUCCAAGUCAGCACACCACAACGGUAAAAUCUUCAAGCACCACCGUCGAUACAACCAUCAGGUUUGACUCUGCGUACAUUAAAACAAUACCGGGAUAUCUUAAAAUCGCACAAAUCGCUCUGAACUUGCUUGGGUUCAUAUGUAUAGAAGCCAGCGGAACAUUUUCUUAUCAUUCCAGAGGAUCAUGGUUCAAUUUUGUGUCUAUGACUGGGUUUUGGAUCACCGGAAUCCUGCUCGCGUUCUAUUUGUUCCAUAUCGUUGAGAGAUUUUAUAAAAUACCUUGGCUCAAGUUUGAAUUUGGAUAUUGCGCUCUAUGGGUGUUCCUCUACUUAAUAGCAGCUUGUUUGGCAGUUACUUAUCAAGUAGAAGCUUAUAUUGCUGCAGGGUUCUUUGGAUUUUGUGCGAUGGUGGUUUACGGAAUCGACGCCUUUUUCAAAUUCAAAGCGGUCAAGUCUGGCCAAUUGGCCCAAGGCGAGAGGGUAAUUAACAAACAAACUACCACCACGGUCACCACCCCAUCGGCAUACCCUUAAAUUUAUCACAGAGGUUUAUUUAUUAAUUUGCACUGAAUUUAUUAAGUUUGAUCUUGUAUAUUGAGUUUCUGAGAAGCAGGAAUACUUAGCUCAAGAUCACCAGGGAUGUACUUUUAGGGUCCACAAUAUACUUAUCACAAUUUGGCUUUGGAGUUCUAUUUUUAAAAUAGAUUUAAGUUAAAUAAGCAUUUUUUUUUUGUAAAGCAACUAGUCAUAUACUGAUAAGUACUUUUAGUUUAUUUCCUGUAAGGUCAAUAUUGAAAUAUUUUUAUAUUAUGCAAAAGAAAAUAAUUUGUUAUUAUACACGUACACUUUUUAAAAAAAUAUAUAUAUAUUAUGUAGAUUUAAGGACUAAAAAAAGUUCUUUUCAUAUAUCCUUAGGUGUGACUUAUUGCAACUAUGGAACAAUACUAUAACUACUUACCUAUAUGCAAUAAAAUUUGCCUUUCACGUUAAAUAUAAUACAAUUUAAAUCGAUGUUAGAUUGUGAGUGUAAUAUAUAAAAAUAUUUAAAAGCA